Paecilomyces variotii is the source of this 89-nucleotide non-coding RNA. Lineage: Eukaryota; Fungi; Ascomycota; Eurotiomycetes; Eurotiales; Thermoascaceae. The record is from the annotation of a RefSeq genome assembly.
AGUCGCGUGGUCUAGUGGUUAUGAUUCGUCGUUCACAUCUUACCGAUGGUGUACCGUCGAGGUCGCCGGUUCGACCCCGGCCGCGACUA